CCUACGGGAGGCAGCAGUGGGGAAUAUUGCGCAAUGGGCGAAAGCCUGACGCAGCGAAGCCGCGUGAGGGAUGAAGGUCUUCGGAUCGGAAACCCCUGUCAGCAGGGAAGCACGGUCACUGUGCUAAUCAGCAGUGAAUUGACGGUACCUGCAAAGGAAGCACCGGCUAACUCCGGGCCAGCAGCCGCGGUAAUACGGAGGGUGCGAGCGUUGAUCGGAAUUACUGGGCGUAAAGCGCUCGUAGGCGGUAUGUCAAGUCAAGGGUGAAAUCCCCGCGCCCAACCUGGGAAGUGCCUUUGAAACUGGCAAACUGGAGUGUGUGAGAGGAUAGUGGAAUGCGAGGUGU
Molecule: ribosomal RNA, 346 nt
Filed under: uncultured bacterium
Lineage: Bacteria
Description: partial 16S ribosomal RNA
Rfam family: Bacterial small subunit ribosomal RNA
Source: RNAcentral